RNAcentral lists this ribosomal RNA (467 nucleotides) under uncultured bacterium. RNAcentral's name for it is "partial 16S ribosomal RNA". It matches the Rfam family "Bacterial small subunit ribosomal RNA", at positions 28 to 506 of the family's 1533-position model. The record is from RNAcentral.
GACGAACGCUGGCGGCGUGCUUAACACAUGCAAGUCGAACGGAAAGGCCCCGCUUUUGUUGGGUGCUCGAGUGGCGAACGGGUGAGGAACGCGUGAGUAACCUGCCCUUGACUCUGGUACUACUUCACGGAACUGGAGCUAAGACCGGAUGGGAGCUCCUGCGGCAUGGGGGUGGUGGGACAGUGUCGGCGGUUGGGGAUGGACGGGUGGCUUAUCCGCUUGUUGGCGGGGUAGUGGCUUAGCAGGGCUUCGACGGCGAGCCGGCCUGAGAGGGUGACCGGCCACACUGGGACCGAGAUACGGCCCAGAGUGCUACGGGAGGCAGAAGUGGGGAAUAUUGGACACUGCGCGGAAGCGGGAUGCAGCAACGCCGCGUGGGGGAGGACGGCCUUCGGGUUGUAAGCCGGUUUGGCCUGUGGCGAAGCGGGAGUGACGGUAAUGGGUAAAGAAGCACCGCUUACUUACUU